UACGGGGGGGGCAAGCGUUGUUCGGAAUCACUGGGCGUAAAGGGAGCGUAGGCGGGUUUCUAAGUCAGGUGUUUAAUCCCGGGGCCCAACCCCGGACAGGCACUUGAAACUGGGAAUCUUGAAUAGGGGAGAGGUCAGUGGAAUUGGAGGUGUAGCGGUGGAAUGCGUAGAGAUCUCCAAGAACACCAGUUGCGAAGGCGGCUGACUGGACCCAUAUUGACGCUGAGGCUCGAAAGCAUGGGGAGCAAACAGG
This 253-nucleotide ribosomal RNA is filed under the name uncultured bacterium. Its description in RNAcentral is "partial 16S ribosomal RNA". It matches the Rfam family "Bacterial small subunit ribosomal RNA", at positions 524 to 776 of the family's 1533-position model. The record is from RNAcentral.